GCAUAUCAAUAAGCGGAGGAAAAGAAACUAACAAGGAUUCCCUUAGUAACGGCGAGUGAAGCGGGAAGAGCUCAAAUUUAAAAUCUGGCCGGGUUACCGGUCCGAGUUGUAGUUUAUAGAAGUGUUUUCGGCGGCAACCUGGGUACAAGUCCUUUGGAACAGGGCAUCAUAGAGGGUGAGAAUCCCGUCCAUGACCCAGUGGAUGCUGCUAUGUGAUACACUUUCAAAGAGUCGAGUUGUUUGGGAUUGCAGCUCAAAAUGGGUGGUAAAUUUCAUCUAAAGCUAAAUACAGGCGAGAGACCGAUAGCGAACAAGUACCGUGAGGGAAAGAUGAAAAGAACUUUGAAAAGAGAGUUAAACAGUGCGUGAAAUUGUUGAAAGGGAAACGUUUGGCACCAGUCAUGCGUGCAGGAAAUCAGUCUAUUCAGGUGGGGAGUGGCAGGAGUUUGGACCGCAAGGCCAGCUUUUGUUGCAUUUCUGUUUGAAUGGAUGCACUUUUCUGUAUGCAGGUCAACAUCAGUUUUGUUUGCCGGACAAAACCUCAAGGGAAUGUGGCAGCUUUGGCUGUGUUAUAGCCCUGGGGCGAUACGGUGGACGAGACUGAGGCUUUCAGUGUGUGCUUUCGGGCAAGGCCGACCGGGUGCUCUGAGCUAGCACGGGGUACAAUACAUGUAUUUUGCUUCGUGUCUGGAUUAUACUCGCUCGAAUCGGCUCUUCCACGCUUAGGAUGUUGACAUAAUGGUUCUAAACGACCCGUCUUGAAACACGGACC
Molecule: ribosomal RNA, 772 nt
Filed under: Actinomortierella capitata
Lineage: Eukaryota; Fungi; Mortierellomycota; Mortierellomycetes; Mortierellales; Mortierellaceae
Description: eukaryotic LSU rRNA
Rfam family: Eukaryotic large subunit ribosomal RNA
Source: RNAcentral